GUUAUAGUUUAUUUGAUAUAUUAAAUGGAUAACUGUAGAAAAACUAGAGCUAAUACAUGCCGAAGCCGCAAGGUUGUAUUUAUUAGAUAUUCCAAUUAGGUGAAUCAUGAUAACUUUUCAAAUCUCGGUUUUGCCGAGAUAAAUCAUCCAAGUUUCUGCCCUAUCAUGCUUUCGAUGGUAGUGUAUUGGACUACCAUGGCUUUCACGGGUAACAGGGAAUUAGGGUUCGAUUCUGGAGAAGGAGCCUGAGAAACGGCUACUACAUCUACGGAAGGCAGCAGGCGCGUAAAUUACCCAAUCCUGACUCAGGGAGGUGGUGACAAGAUAUAACAACGCAAUUUAAUUGUGAUUGUAGUGAGGGUUUUCCAAACCGAACCACUAGUACGAUUAGAGGGCAAGUCUGGUGCCAGCAGCCGCGGUAAUUCCAGCUCUAAUAGCGUAUAUUAAAGUUGCUGCAGUUAAAAAGCUCGUAGUUGGAUUUCAAGGAUUGUGUACUCUUCUAGGGUAUGCACCCUACUAGUCUUUGACUGUUACUGUGAGAAAAUUAGAGUGUUUAAAGCAGGCAAUUGCAAGAAUACAUUAGCAUGGAAUAACGAAUGUAUCUAGAAUCUUGGUUAAUUCUAGGUUUCGAUUAAUAGAGACAGUUGGGGGCAUUAGUAUUUAAUUGUCAGAGGUGAAAUUCUUGGAUUUGUUAAAGACUAACGUAUGC
Molecule: ribosomal RNA, 709 nt
Filed under: Dasytricha ruminantium
Lineage: Eukaryota; Ciliophora; Litostomatea; Vestibuliferida; Isotrichidae
Description: SSU rRNA
Rfam family: Eukaryotic small subunit ribosomal RNA
Source: RNAcentral